CCUACGGGUGGCAGCAGUGAGGAAUAUUGGUCAAUGGACGAGAGUCUGAACCAGCCAAGUAGCGUGAAGGAUGACUGACCUAUUUGUUGUAAACUUCUUUUAUAUGGGAAUAAAAUGUUCCACGUAUGUGAUUUUGUAUUUACCAUAUGAAUAAGGAUCGGCUAACUCCGUGCCAGCAGCCGCGGUAAGCAAGAGGGUCAGAGCGUUAUCCGGAUUGUUUGGGUUUAAAGGGAACGUAGGUCGAUUGUUAAGUCAGUUGUGAAAGUUUGCGGCUUAACCGUAAAAUUGCAGUUGAAACUGGCAGUCUUGAGUACAGGAGAGGUGGGCGGAAUUCGUGGUGUAGCGGUGAAAUGCUUAGAUAUCACGAAGAACUCCGAUUGCGAAGGCAGCUCACUGGACUGCAACUGACACUGAGGCUCGAAAGUGUGGGUAUCAAACAGGAUUAGAUACCCGUGUAGUC
RNAcentral lists this ribosomal RNA (460 nucleotides) under uncultured bacterium. Its description in RNAcentral is "partial 16S ribosomal RNA". It matches the Rfam family "Bacterial small subunit ribosomal RNA", at positions 338 to 795 of the family's 1533-position model. The record is from RNAcentral.